CCUAAAGCAACAUACAAUAGGGAAAAAUUAUAUAUGAAGUUAUUGGUAGGGUUUGGCAUUUGGACACCAAAGAUUCACAUCACAUCUGGGAAAAAAAAAAAGCUGCUAUAAAUCUGUCAGGUAGGUAACAGGACUCUUCAGUUUUGCCUACAAAUGUUUUCAGCAGUAUCCACAAGCUUUUUAAGACAGUCUCCUUUUGCCUCAAAUCCCCCUUAGUUUUCAUUUAUGCCUCUGGGUGGCUUUCUGGUUUUUGGUAUUUAACUUUCCAUAAUUGCAAAGAUGGCAUUGACUCCAUGCUUUGAAAGCUCUCACACUCCCAAUCCUGCUUAUUCCAUAAACACAAGGAGACUGUUUAUAUUUAAAUGCUCUCAGUUUAUAAGGACCAUGAUGUAUACAAAGCUAAAUCACAGAUGCGCAUUGCUAAAUGAAAGGUUCUUGGACUGUUCCCAUGAGUUGCUACUGCCAGACAGGAGGCACUGUUGUCAUUCAAGGGUAAGGUUGGGCUUCUGAAGGCCUUUUUAACUUGCUAUAUCAAGAACUGCAGCUUUUUAAAUUUGCAGUUACCUAGCCUGAAUCAAAAUAGCAAUCAACAGAAACUUCACAAAUGUUAUUUCAAAAAUUUAUGAGUUACUAAGUGCCUUCUAACUUACACUCAUUUCCCUAGAAACUCACUGUUCUUCAGGAUCUGCAAAGCAACCUGCAAAAUUGGAUUAUUUGCAUUUCAAGAGCCCUUGAUUUUCUCCCCCAGCUUCCAUUUUCCUUUAAUAUUCCCAUUCCUCCCAGUGACCACUACAUACACUCGUUGUGCCACCAAACACAGCCAGCAGUGCUAUUGUGAGAGGCCAUCAGAAGGAGCGAUAGUUUCAGAACCAGGUACAGGGCUGUCAACUCCCGCAUUGUUCUCCAAGUCCUCCCUUCCUUCCUACUACCAUGUCUCAAUUUCCAGUGUGUGUGUGUUGAUGCAGAACAUACAAACUUGGGAAACUGCCUGCUGGGGCAUUGUUCAGAUAUGAUACGCUUUAUUUUCACUGCAGAAAUGCUUGGUUUCCUCAUGAUGUAUUCCGCUGGUUGAUGCAUUGUUCUACACGCUGCUGUAUUUUUCUCACUUUGACUCUAGGAAGCUCAGCUCUUCCUGUCCAGCUGGGCAAAGCAAAGUAAUAUCCUUCCACAAUUAAAUAUGCUUGCAACGACCUGCGGUGUGCUUGAGCAGGUCUCCUACUACAGACAGGGAUCCAUAUAACACAUCAGGCUGCAUGUUAACAAGACAUUGCUCUAAGAUGCAGAAGGAUUUUAUCAAGGCCAAAUUCUGAGCUUAGAACUGUAUUUUGCAGACUGUCCCUUGUGCAAGCACUGUAUCAUCCUCCUCCAGUAGGCAGGAAGAUAAGGAGAGAAUAGGAGAGAACGGAGAAUAGAAACAAAGAAUGAGGAAAGAAAAUAAUGCUUGCAGAGUAAGUUAGGAGGUAAAACGGCUAAUCCAGAGGUGGACCUGUUCUCCUUCAGGCUAACCACUGCAUCAGACUCCCUCAGAAUCCAAGUCACACAGACUCCUGGAGGCCCACAGGAUCGCUGCCACCUCUCUCUGUUGCACUAGCAGCACCUUUGUAUUUAACUCACAGUUUAACUGUAGCAGCGGCUGCCUUCACCAAUCCUAAUUGUUUCCCUCCACCCUGUAACUAUCAGCUGCCCCUGCGAUAACAUCCCACUCCACCUACUUACUCAGCCACCUGCCUAGGAUCUCAUUUCCUUGGAAGAUUUCCUGCUGGGCAGAAUCCCUGGCUCUGUAGCACCAUAAAACCACCACCAGAAACGUACCAUAAUCCCUGGAAGCUCCAGAUUUCUUAUCCAUUAUAACACCACACAGUGUGGAGGUGCCAUGGGUAUGACAAGGCUGCCAUACACCUGGAAGUCUUGACCAUGACUGUGAAACCCCACUGCAUGCCUCCCACUACCAGAUACCCACUGAACCUCUGAAAAAUCUUAGGCAAACACAUAAAAUCAUCAAACUCCAGCUACACUAAAUCUAAGCAAGGAAAACGAGUGUGUAUCCACAAAAAUCAGGACUUGGCAGACCUCUCACCAGUCCCGGAAGCUCUGUAUUGUAUGGAGCCAGUCUCUAGCAUCCUGCCUCUUCUCACUGUGCAUUUUCUGAGAUGUAAAGGAAGUCUACAAGUAACCCCACAACCGAUCUGUGCUGUUGGUACCCUCAAAUCUUCCCACCACUAUUUCUUUCCUCCAGUGAAUUGUGGAACUAUUACAUAUGCUCAGGCUGACCUGCACACGCACAGAAGCCAUUUGUUUAAAAGACUAUUUAUUUUUUAAUCUGCAGAAUAGCAACUAUUUCCUGCAGUCUUCUUUCUCUCUUUUCCACUCUCCACUGCUCGAAAUAAACGAUAAAUCUGGGAAGAGAGACUGGUGGCUUGCAUACUACUGCUUAAAAGUCCAUUAAAAAAGAAAAAAAAAAAUUAAAAAAAGCUAUAUCAGACUGCCAACAGUGGGUCCUGGUGAGCAACCCUAUGCCAUUAGGAGGCCAGGAGAUCUGCUGCUCUCCUGCAGCAGGCUCGUUCCACCUGUGUCUUCACCUUUUGGACCAGUAUUCUGUCAACACAAACAUUACAGCACGAGGAAUAUGUCUCCAUCUACCUCAAUCUCCUGCUGGUCCUGGUUAAAAUUCUUCUAUCUGGAGCGUGUGACUAGGUUCCCAGUAUACCUGAACGAAGUUCUGAUUGAUGGUCCAGAGCUACUCACUAUAGAGAUGUGCACACAGAUGUGUUUAUACAAGCAGGGGCUGCAAACAUCUCCAUCAGAAUGAGCCCUAACGGCCUGUGACACAGCAAGUAGGGAACAGCCAGCUUCUGUCACAAAAUCCUCUGUUAGCCAGGCUGGAUUUUUAAAAGAGAAAACAAAAUGCUUUGUUGGCUUUUGACACAGAAGAUCAUUACUUCAGCACUCAGGCAGCCAUUCUGCAUUAUUCAGCAGGUUGGGAGGACAGUGCCUGAUGCUGGCAGGGGCCUCCAUCAGAUCCAAAUCCAUCACAUGCUGUUGGUUCAUUGUUAGCUCGGCAGGAAGGGAGCGCAGUGAACUGAACUGCUGCAUUGUACUGAAGACACUGAAUUGAUUUUGCUCUGGCAUUACUGGUGACAUGCCAAACGGUGAAGUUCCAGCUCAGGUAUUUCCAAAGGUCAACUGAUUUCACUUUCAAGGGGCUGCUGUGGUCCAUGCAAGAGAAAGGGAGUAAAAGCAGAAGCCUGAAUAUAAAAACAUUUUGUACAGCUGCCUAUGGCUUUUUAUCCCGGGCUUACUUCUAAAUAUUGUAACUUAAAAUUCCUUUGUAAGAUGCCUUCAAAAACACUGCCAUGAAGUAUAUGGGAGAAGAAGAGGGACAGCAUUAAAAGCUUGAAGUUAAAGACUUAAAGACUCGCUAUGGCUUCCUAUUCCCUACCUCAACAGGGACAGUCUGGUCUGCAGUGUUUCAUACCACCCAAAUAAUGUUUAUCUUUUCUCUGUCUGUCCCUGGCAUUGUUCCUUCUUCAUGUUAACACAAUAUACCAAACUAACUUGCAACCUAAGCUUGCCUUGGCAAGAGGAAAUGUGUUUUGUGGCUAGUACAGACUUGGAAACCAGAAGGACAUGAGAGUUCUCAUGGUGGCUUUCAUUCAGACUUCCUGUUUGAGCAAGUGGAUCACUGGACUUUCACACGCUGCUUCUUCUUUAGUGCAAAGGAACCGAUAAUGCUUCUGUACUUCACAAGCAUGCUAUGAAGCUGAAUCAUGGUAAUGCGCACUUUUAAGCUUCAGCAGAAAGUACUACAGAAGUGCAAAGUAAAACAGCCAAGGCCAGAACCACCCUGCCCAAGAACACUGCAAAACCUGAAGUUCCUCACAUGCUCUCAGGCUGUUCCUCAUUAUGUUGGAAAAUAACCUAAGAACCAGCCAUAUAUAAGUGUUUUUCAUAUUAGAGUCGGUCUUCUUCUGUUUACUAUGCUGUACUGUAAGACUCUGCUGAAGAAGUUAAACUACACAGCCUUUAAACAAUUUCACAUCAAGAACUUAACAUCAAUUCAAGCCAAGAACAGUCUGGUUGGUUUGUGGUUGAGGGUUUUUCUUUCCCCCUUUAUAUUUUCUGCGGAAUUUCCAUGCACUUUGUUGUAAAUAAGUAGUCUCAGGAUUUCUGUAUAGUUCACAUGUGUUGAAAGCAAGUGUACACUAUCCAAGUAUCAUAGGAAACUUUCAGUCAUUUCCUAAUUGAAGGGUCAAUUAACAGAAGAACGAUUCUUUCAGUUAAUGGAAUCUUUUGGCUGACUUAGAUAAUUGGAACUGCUUUGUUAAGCUAUUAAGGUUUGUGAGUACUAACAAUCACUUGGGAAUAGGGAGGAGGCAACAUAGUUGAAAUGCUUUUGGACCAUUCAUUCUGUAACUGAACACCUGUUGGAUUUUUUUUUUUUUUUAAGUGACAUCUACAUACCAAAGAUGAAGUUAUCAGGCCGAAAGAGCUGACCAAAAGGACCAGAUCUCACACUAUCCAUGGUUCCCGGCUCCAAGUCCACUAAGACUGCUCUUGGUACAAAUUUCUGGGCUGCAAACCAAAAAAUAAAUAUAUGCUUAAUGUUAAAAAAAAUAAAACAUUUACAGCUCUUUA
Molecule: long non-coding RNA, 4635 nt
Organism: Anas platyrhynchos (mallard)
Lineage: Eukaryota; Metazoa; Chordata; Aves; Anseriformes; Anatidae
Source: RefSeq, a predicted model, not a curated record